This 897-nucleotide ribosomal RNA is filed under the name Triticum aestivum (bread wheat). RNAcentral describes it as "partial small subunit ribosomal RNA". The record is from RNAcentral. Lineage: Eukaryota; Viridiplantae; Streptophyta; Magnoliopsida; Poales; Poaceae.
AUGCGAAACCUUGACAAACUCAUUAAAGGAAAUCAUAUCCUUGGCGUUAACGAUGUCAUAUUUGACAAGGAUAGACAUUGUAGUGCUUGUCAAGCAUGGAAACAAGUUGGAGGAAGUCAUCGCGCUAAGAACAUCAUGACCACAAGAAGACCACUCGAGCUACUUCACAUGGAUCUCUUUGGUCGAAAUGCCUACAAGAGUCUCGGUGGUAACUUAUUUGGUCUGAUCAUAGUUGAUUAUUUUUCAAGAUUUACGUGGGUGUUCUUUCUUGAUGCCAAAUCGCAGGUCCAAAAGAUCUUCAAAAACUUUACUAGGAAGGCCCAAAAUCAAUUUGACGUGAAGAUCAAGAAGGUUCGAAGCGACAACGGAGCGGAGUUCAAGAACGCAAAUGUGGACACCUUUCUUGACGAAGAAGGGAUCGCACAUGAGUUCUCGGCUACGUACACACCUCAACAAAAUGGAGUUGUUGAGAGGAAGAACCGAACUCUUAUCGAGAUGGCAAGAACGAUUCUUGAUGAGUACAAGACGCCAAAACACUUUUGGGCGGAAGCGGUAGAGAUAGCUUGUCAUGCAACAAAUCGCUUGUAUCUUCACAAGCUAUUCGGCAAAACGGCAUACGGGCUCCUCACCGGUAACAAACCCCAAGUUGGAUACUUUCGAGUAUUCGGCUCAAAGUGCUACAUUCUUGAUAAGCAUCAUCGUUCUAAAUUUGCUCCUAAGUCUCAUGAAGGUUUCCUACUUGGUUAUGGCUUAAACUCUCAUACAUACCGUGUCUACAACAAUUUCACCCGAAAGGUUGAAGAAACGGUAGAUGUGAAGUUUGAUGAAUCUAACGGCUCGCAAGUAGAGCAAUUGCCAAUUGGUGUAGGAGACAAAGAUCCCUCGAAAGCAAUCUAA